AACACAUGCAAGUCGAGGGGUAACAUAGAGAAGCUUGCUUUUCUGAUGACGACCGGCGCACGGGUGAGUAACGCGUAUACAACCUACCUUUUAGCGGGGAAUAGCCCAGGGAAACUUGGAUUAAUGCCCCAUAGUAUGGUGAUCUCUCCUGAGAUUAUCAUUAAACAUUUAUGGCUAUUAGAUGGGUAUGCGUCCUAUUAGUUAGUUGGUAAGGUAACGGCUUACCAAGGCAGCGAUAGGUAGGGGUCCUGAGAGGGAGAUCCCCCACACUGGUACUGAGACACGGACCAGACUCCUACGGGAGGCAGCAGUGAGGAAUAUUGGACAAUGGGCGAGAGCCUGAUCCAGCCAUGCCGCGUGCAGGAAGACUGCCCUAUGGGUUGUAAACUGCUUUUACAGAGGAAGAAUCGCCACUACGUGUAGUGGUUUGACGGUACUCUGCGAAUAAGGAUCGGCUAACUCCGUGCCAGCAGCCGCGGUAAUACGGAGGAUCCAAGCGUUAUCCGGAAUCAUUGGGUUUAAAGGGUCCGUAGGCGGGCAGUUAAGUCAGUGGUGAAAGUCUUCCGCUCAACGGGAGAACUGCCAUUGAAACUGAUUGUCUUGAGUUAUUAUGAAGUGGUUAGAAUGAGUAGUGUAGCGGUGAAAUGCAUAGAUAUUACUCAGAAUACCGAUUGCGAAGGCAGAUCACUAAUAAUAUACUGACGCUGAUGGACGAAAGCGUAGGUAGCGAACAGGAUUAGAUACCCUGGUAGUCUACGCCGUAAACGAUGGUUACUAGCUGUUCGGCCCGAUUAAGGGCUGAGUGGUUAAGCGAAAGUGAUAAGUAACCCACCUGGGGAGUACGUUCGCAAGAAUGAAACUCAAAGGAAUUGACGGGGGCCCGCACAAGCGGUGGAGCAUGUGGUUUAAUUCGAUGAUACGCGAGGAACCUUACCAGGGCUUAAAUGUAGUCUGACAGGAGUGGAAACACUUUUUUCUUCGGACAGAUUACAAGGUGCUGCAUGGUUGUCGUCAGCUCGUGCCGUGAGGUGUCAGGUUAAGUCCUAUAACGAGCGCAACCCCUGUGGUUAGUUGCCAGCGAGUAAUGUCGGGAACUCUAGCCAGACUGCCGGUGCAAACCGUGAGGAAGGUGGGGAUGACGUCAAAUCAUCACGGCCCUUACGUCCUGGGCCACACACGUGCUACAAUGGUAGGGACAGAGAGCAGCCACUUCGCGAGAAGGAGCGAAUCUACAAACCCUAUCACAGUUCGGAUCGCAGUCUGCAACUCGACUGCGUGAAGCUGGAAUCGCUAGUAAUCGCAUAUCAGCCAUGAUGCGGUGAAUACGUUCCCGGGCCUUGUACACACCGCCCGUCAAGCCAUGGAAGCCGGGGGUACCUGAAGUCGGUCACCGCAAGGAGCCGCCUAGGGUA
Molecule: ribosomal RNA, 1412 nt
Filed under: Salegentibacter holothuriorum
Lineage: Bacteria; Pseudomonadati; Bacteroidota; Flavobacteriia; Flavobacteriales; Flavobacteriaceae
Description: 16S ribosomal RNA
Rfam family: Bacterial small subunit ribosomal RNA
Source: RNAcentral